GUCAGCGGCAGACGGGUGAGUAACGCGUGGGAACAUACCUUUUGGUUCGGAACAACACAGGGAAACUUGUGCUAAUACCGGAUAAGCCCUUACGGGGAAAGAUUUAUCGCCGAAAGAUUGGCCCGCGUCUGAUUAGCUAGUUGGUGAGGUAACGGCUCACCAAGGCGACGAUCAGUAGCUGGUCUGAGAGGAUGAUCAGCCACAUUGGGACUGAGACACGGCCCAAACUCCUACGGGAGGCAGCAGUNNNGAAUAUUGG
RNAcentral lists this ribosomal RNA (259 nucleotides) under uncultured soil bacterium. Its description in RNAcentral is "partial 16S ribosomal RNA". It matches the Rfam family "Bacterial small subunit ribosomal RNA", at positions 91 to 367 of the family's 1533-position model. The record is from RNAcentral.